This 397-nucleotide ribosomal RNA is filed under the name Cladosporium cf. cladosporioides Fun422A. RNAcentral describes it as "partial 18S ribosomal RNA". The stretch from base 213 to 366 matches the Rfam family "5.8S ribosomal RNA". Lineage: Eukaryota; Fungi; Ascomycota; Dothideomycetes; Cladosporiales; Cladosporiaceae. The record is from RNAcentral.
GGAAGUAAAAGUCGUAACAAGGUCUCCGUAGGUGAACCUGCGGAGGGAUCAUUACAAGUGACCCCGGUCUAACCACCGGGAUGUUCAUAACCCUUUGUUGUCCCGACUCUGUUGCCUCCGGGGCGACCCUGCCUUCGGGCGGGGGCUCCCGGGUGGACACUUCAAACUCUUGCGUAACUUUGCAGUCUGAGUAAACUUAAUUAAUAAAUUAAAACUUUUAACAACGGAUCUCUUGGUUCUGGCAUCGAUGAAGAACGCAGCGAAAUGCGAUAAGUAAUGUGAAUUGCAGAAUUCAGUGAAUCAUCGAAUCUUUGAACGCACAUUGCGCCCCCUGGUAUUCCGGGGGGCAUGCCUGUUCGAGCGUCAUUUCACCACUCAAGCCUCGCUUGGUAUUGGG